RNAcentral lists this ribosomal RNA (192 nucleotides) under uncultured Actinomycetales bacterium. RNAcentral's name for it is "partial 16S ribosomal RNA". It matches the Rfam family "Bacterial small subunit ribosomal RNA", at positions 139 to 334 of the family's 1533-position model. The record is from RNAcentral. Lineage: Bacteria; Bacillati; Actinomycetota; Actinomycetes; Actinomycetales.
UGGGAUAAGCUUGGGAAACUGGGUCUAAUACCGGAUAGGAGCCAUCUUUAGUGUGGUGGUUGGAAAGUUUUUUCGGUGUAGGAUGAGCUCGCGGCCUAUCAGCUUGUUGGUGGGGUAAUGGCCUACCAAGGCGGCGACGGGUAGCCGGCCUGAGAGGGUGUACGGCCACAUUGGGACUGAGAUACGGCCCAG